AACGCACGAGACCUGCGGACCUGCGGAAGGAUCAUUCACAAUAAGAGUGUUCUAUGGCACUCUUCAAAAAAAUCCAUACCCACCUUGUGUGCAAUGUAAAAAGGAACAAGUUUUUGAGUGGGGGAGAAAAAGGAGCUCGCUUCUCUUCUCCGCCCUCUUGACUUGAGCCUUUCCAUUCCAUAUACACCUUUCUAUAAUCCUAUUGUCUGAAGUAUAUACGAAUAAACAUAAUUCGAAAUA
RNAcentral lists this unclassified non-coding RNA (240 nucleotides) under soil metagenome. RNAcentral describes it as "partial contains 5.8S ribosomal RNA, internal transcribed spacer 2, and large subunit ribosomal RNA". The record is from RNAcentral.